GGGCUCGAUCACCCAGUCUGCCCCAUAGCCGCUCAUCCACAAGAAGCCUCGCACCAUCCUGGACUGACUGACUGUGAGAUACGAUAAAAUGGUUAAAGUGAAGCAGGUUGUGUUAGUUUUCAUCGCCAUCAUCACCGCCGUGCUUGAUCACCGGGUUGCCUGGAGACAAGACGAGGACACAGACACAUGGGUUCCCCACAAACACCAGAUCUGCCAGGGAGGGCAGGUCAGCCAGCUUCACAAAUUCCGCUGCAACAUCAAGAGUCAACAGUGACCUUA
Long non-coding RNA from Hypomesus transpacificus, 279 nucleotides. RefSeq lists it as uncharacterized. NCBI's taxonomy places the organism in Eukaryota, Metazoa, Chordata, Actinopteri, Osmeriformes, Osmeridae. The record is from RefSeq and is a predicted model, not a curated record. The transcript has 3 exons.